Nematostella vectensis (starlet sea anemone) is the source of this 1965-nucleotide long non-coding RNA. RefSeq lists it as uncharacterized. The transcript has 2 exons. NCBI's taxonomy places the organism in Eukaryota, Metazoa, Cnidaria, Anthozoa, Actiniaria, Edwardsiidae. The record is from RefSeq and is a predicted model, not a curated record.
CCUGGAAUAACACAUAACAACGACACAUUAGGAACACUCGUUAGUCUUGAAUAACACAUAACCACGGUACAUAAGGAGCACUCGUCAGUCUAUGGGAUAACACAUAACCACGGUACAUAAGGAACACUCGUCAGUCUAUGGAAUAACACAUAACCACGGUACAUAAGGAACACUCGUCAGUCUAUGGAAUAACACAUAACCACGGUACAUAAGUAACACUCGUCAGUCUAUGGAAUAACACAACCACGGUACAUAAGGAACACUCGUCAGUCUGGAAUAACACAUAACCACGGUACAUAAGGAAAACUCGUCAGUCAAUGGAAUAACACAUAACCACGGUACAUAAGGAACACUCGUCAGUCUAUGGAAUAACACAUAACCACGGUACAUAAGGAACACUCUUCAGUCUAUGGAAUAACACAUAACCACGGUACAUAAGGAGCACUCGUCAGUCUAUGGAAUAACACAUAACCACGGUACAUAAGGAACACUCGUCAGUCUGGAAUAACACAUAACCACGGUACAUAAGGAACACUCGUCAGUCUAUGGAAUAACACAUAACCACGGUACAUAAGGAACACUCUUCAGUCUAUGGAAUAACACAUAACCACGGUACAUAAGGAGCACUCGUCAGUCUAUGGAAUAACACAUAACCACGGUACAUAAGGAACACUCGUCAGUCUGGAAUAACACAACCACGGUACGUAAGGAACACUCGUCAGUCUAUGGAAUAACACAUAACCACGGUACAUAAGGAGCACUCGUCAGUCUAUGGAAUAACACAUAACCACGGUACAUAAGUAACACUCGUCAGUCUAUGGAAUAACACAUAACCACGGUACAUAAGGAACACUCGUCAGUCUAUGGAAUAACACAUAACCACGGUACAUAAGGAACACUCGUCAGUCUGGAAUAACACAUAACCACGGUACAUAAGGAACACUCGUCAGUCUAUGGAAUAACACAUAACCACGGUACAUAAGGAACACUCGUCAGUCUAUGGAAUAACACAUAACCACGGUACAUAAGGAGCACUCGUCAGUCUAUGGAAUAACACAUAACCACGGUACAUAAGGAACACUCGUCAGUCUAUGGGAUAACACAUAACCACGGUACAUAAGGAACACUCGUCAGUCUGGAAUAACACAUAACCACGGUACAUAAGGAGCACUCGUCAGUCUAUGGAAUAACACAUAACCACGGUACAUAAGGAACACUCGUCAGUCUAUGGGAUAACACAUAACCACGGUACAUAAGGAACACUCGUCAGUCUAUGGAAUAACACAUAACCACGGUACAUAAGGAACACUCGUCAGUCUAUGGAAUAACACAUAACCACGGUACAUAAGGAACACUCGUCAGUCUGGAAUAACACAUAACCACGGUACAUAAGGAACACUCGUCAGUCUAUGGAAUAACACAUAACCACGGUACAUAAGGAACACUCGUCAUUCUAUGGAAUAACACAACCACGGUACAUAAGGCACACUCGUCAGUCUAUGGGAUAACACAUAACCACGACACAUUGGCAACAAAGAUAAAAAUUGUUCUUACUUUCUCUCCCCAGCUAGGUCCCCAGCUGAAAAACAAAGCAAAUAAACCAUGUUAACAUUAUGAUGUAGACUACUUGAAACAUCAACGACAACAAAAUGUGCAUUGGUCAUCUAAUCUCACCUGUUUUUGAUGAUCCAGUAGGGAGUGCCGUUUUCUGUGGAGGAAAUAGAGGUGUUGAAAAAAGAGCAUGGUCAGAUCAAGAGCUAAUUGAGCCAUCAGCUCAAGGAAGAAGGUUCAUUACAUGGCUGAAGGAGAACGUUGGUGAUCUUUCUGGCUUCUCUCUACAAAGCUCUGCACUCAGUGGAUGUCAAAUAACGAAUGACAGCUUGCCUAAGGUAAGUCCCUUUUAUCAGGGUUCAAAAUAACUUUUUUAAAUCUGCUAGAUUUUGCUGGCUUUUUGAAUUUUGGUGG